RNAcentral lists this ribosomal RNA (2902 nucleotides) under Heterosigma akashiwo. RNAcentral describes it as "23S ribosomal RNA". Lineage: Eukaryota; Raphidophyceae; Chattonellales; Chattonellaceae. The record is from RNAcentral.
UUAUUCAAGUCCUCGGUCUGUUAGUACAUCUCAGCUGAAUACAUUGCUGCACUUACACUUGAUGCCUAUCAACGGGUAGUCUUCCCGUGACCUUACUUGUUUUCACAAUGAGAAUACUCAUCUUGAGGUGGGCUUCCCACUUAGAUGCUUUCAGUGGUUAUCCUUUCCGUACAUAGCUACCCAGCGUUUACCAUUGGCAUGAUAACUGGUACACUAGCGGUACGUCCUUCUCGGUCCUCUCGUACUAAAGAAAGAUCCUCUCAAUAUUCUAACGCCUACACCGGAUAUGGACCGAACUGUCUCACGACGUUCUGAACCCAGCUCGCGUGCCGCUUUUAUGGGCGAACAGCCCAACCCUUGGGACGUACUACCGCCCCAGGAUGCGACGAGCCGACAUCGAGGUGCCAAACCUCCCCGUCGAUGUGAACUCUUGGGGGAGAUCAGCCUGUUAUCCCUAGAGUAACUUUUAUCCGUUGAGUGGCGGCUUUUCCACGUAAUACCGCCAGAUCACUAAGACCGACUUUCGUCUCUGCUCGACUUGUAGGUCUCGCAGUUAAGCUUCCAUAUGCCUUUACGCUCUACAAUCGAUGUCUGACCGAUUUGAGGAAACCUUUGUACGCCUCCGUUACCUUUUAGGAGGCGACCGCCCCAGUCAAACUGCCCGCCUGAGACUGUCUUUUAACCAGAUAAUGGUGUAAAGUUAGAUUUCUAGUUUUACAAGAGUGGUAUCUCACUGAUGGCUCCAAAACACCCACAAGUAUUUUUUCAUAGCCUCCCACCUAUUCUGCGCAAAUAAAACCCGAAACCAAUCUCAAGUUACAGUAAAGCUUCAUAGGGUCUUUCUGUCCAGGUGCAGGUAGUCCGCAUCUUCACAGACAAGUCUAUUUCGCCGAGUCCCUCUCCGAGACAGUGUCCAAAUCGUUACGCCUUUCGUGCGGGUCGGAACUUACCCGACAAGGAAUUUCGCUACCUUAGGACCGUUAUAGUUACGGCCGCCGUUCACCGGGGCUUCAGUCACUAGCUUCGCUACUGCUAACCAGCUUCUUUAACCUUCCGGCACUGGGCAGGCGUCAGCCCCCAUACAUUGUCUUUCGACUUCGCGGAGACCUGUGUUUUUGAUAAACAGUCGCUUGGACCUUGUUAUUGCAACCCAUAGGGUACCCCUUCUCCCAAAGUUACGGGGUUAUUUUGCCGAGUUCCUUAGAGAGAGUUAUCUCGCGCCCCUUAGUAUACUCUACCUACCUACCUGUGUCGGUUUAGGGUACAGGCGUUUUCUAUUUAUGACAGUGCAAGCUUUUCUUGGAAGCAUGACAUCAACUACUUCAAUACUAAGUAUCUCCCCAUCACAUCUCAGCUCAAAAUAUUUUCACUAUUUCUCAUAACCUUGAAUGCUUGGACCAGUGACCACUAUCUGGAUAAGUUUAGCCUUCUUCGUCCCUCGUUGCCAAUAAAAAACGGUAUAGGAAUAUUAACCUAUUGUCCAUCGACUACGUCUUUCGACCUCGCCUUAGGUCCUGACUCACCCCCCGCGGACGAGCCUUCCGGGGGAAACCUUAGGUUUUCGGGGCAUUGGAUUCUCACCAAUGUUUUCGCUACUCAAGCCGACAUUCUCACUUCUGCUUCGUCCACACCCACUUACGUUAAUGCUUCAACCUACAACAGAACGCUCCCCUACCGAUAUUUACUUGUAAUAAAUAUCUCACAGCUUCGGCAAAUUAUUUAAGUCCCGUUCAUUUUCGGCGCAGGAUUACUAGACCAGUGAGCUAUUACGCACUCUUUAAAGGAUUGCUGCUUCUAAGCAAACCUUCUGGCUGUCUGAGUCUUCCCACCUCCUUUACCACUUAAUAAUUAUUUAGGGGCCUUAACUGGUGAUCUGGGCUGUUUCCCUCUUGACUAUGAAGCUUAUCCCCCACAGUCUUACUGGUUAACUGUUCACUUAGUAUUCAGAGUUUGCCUCGAUUUGGUACCGAAUUACCAGCCCGCACCGAAACAGUGCUUUACCUCUAAGCUAUAAUAUUAACCGCUGCGCCUAAACACAUUUCGGGGAGAACCAGCUAGCUCCGAAUUCGAUUGGUAUUUCACCCCUAACCACAACUCAUCCGCUGAUUUUUCAACAUCAGUCGGUUCGGACCUCCACAUAGUAUUACCUAGGCUUCAUCCUGGCCAUGGUUAGAUCAUCCGGGUUCGGGUCUAUAACUAGUGACACACGCUCUAUUAAAGCUCGCUUUCACUGUGGCUCCAGUAUUCUCUACCUUAACCUGCCACUAACUAUAAGUCGCCGGCUCAUUCUUCAACAGGCACGCAGUCAAACGAUAAGUCGUCCUCCUACUGCUUGUAAGCUUAAGGUUUCAUGUUCUAUUUCACUCCCCUCCCGGGGUUCUUUUCACCUUUCCCUCACGGUACUAGUUCACUAUCGGUCAUUCAGGAAUAUUUAGCCUUACGAGGUGGUCCUCGCAGAUUCACACGAGAUUCCACGUGCCUCAUGCUACUUGGGAAAAAACUUAAGAGAAAACAGAGCUUUCGGUUACAAGACUAUCACUUUCUUCGGUUAAACUUUCCAGUUUAUUCUCCUAGCUGUUUUUUAUCUUUAUUUACUGUUUAGUCCCACUACCCUUUUCAUUAUUUAUUUAUUAUUUUGAAAAGUUUAGGCUGUUCCCAUUUCGCUCGCCGCUACUAAGAGAAUCGUUUUUACUUUCUAUUCCUCUGGUUACUAAGAUGUUUCAAUUCUCCAGGUUCGCUCUUUCUUGCCUAUAGAUUCAACAAGAAGUUUUAAAGAGUUGCCUCAUUCGGAUACCCCCGGAUCAAAGCUUGUUUCCAACUCCCCGAGGCGUUUCGCCGGUAACCACGUCCUUCUUCGCUUCUGAAUGCCAAGGUAUUCACCUUAAGCCCUUAUUUCCUUGAA